This 468-nucleotide ribosomal RNA is filed under the name uncultured bacterium. RNAcentral's name for it is "partial 16S ribosomal RNA". It matches the Rfam family "Bacterial small subunit ribosomal RNA", at positions 28 to 507 of the family's 1533-position model. The record is from RNAcentral.
GACGAACGCUGGCGGCGUGCUUAACACAUGCAAGUCGAACGGAAAGGCCCUGCUUUUGUGGGGUGCUCGAGUGGCGAACGGGUGAGUAACACGUGAGUAACCUGCCCUUGACUUUGGGAUAACUUCAGGAAACUGGGGCUAAUACCGGAUAGGAGCUCCUGCUGCAUGGUGGGGGUUGGAAAGUUUCGGCGGUUGGGGAUGGACUCGCGGCUUAUCAGCUUGUUUGUGGGGUAGUGGCUUACCAAGGCUUUGACGGGUAGCCGGCCUGAGAGGGUGACCGGCCACAUUGGGACUGAGAUACGGACCAGACUCCUACGGGAGGCAGCAGUGGGGAAUCUUGCACAGUGGGCGGAAGCCUGAUGCGGCAACCCCGCGUGCGGGAUGACGGCCUUCGGGUUGUAAACCGCUUUCGCCUGUGACGAAGCGUGAGUGACGGUAAUGGGUAAAGAAGCACCGGCUAACUACGUG